GUUUAUUCUAAUGUUAACAGAAGAUGUUUAUUAUGUGUAUGAGUUAAACACGUACCUGCCAACUGUCACUAUUUGUGGGGGAUUUCCCCCAUACAGGCUCCAAGUUGGAAGUUUUGUCUACAAUUUAAAACCAAAUAAUUAACCAUUGGUAUAGGAUUGUAAAUGCUUGAAGAAGCAAAAAAAAAUUGCAAUAAAUUUGAAGGUCAUUUUAAGGGUUUGCAGAACUAUGAGAACCAUCUUGCACGUAAAUACCC
RNAcentral lists this long non-coding RNA (254 nucleotides) under Mytilus galloprovincialis (Mediterranean mussel). Lineage: Eukaryota; Metazoa; Mollusca; Bivalvia; Mytilida; Mytilidae. The record is from RNAcentral.